AACGAACGCUGGCGGCAGGCCUAAUACAUGCAAGUCGAGCGGGUGUAGCAAUACAUCAGCGGCGCACGGGUGCGUAACACGUGGGAAUAUGCCUCUUGGUGCGGAAUAACACAGGGAAACUUGUGCUAAUACCGCAUAAUGACUCCGGUCCAAAGAUUUAUCGCCAAGAGAUUAGCCCGCGUCUGAUUAGCUAGUUGGUGAGGUAAUGGCUCACCAAGGCGACGAUCAGUAGCUGGUCUUAGAGGAUGAUCAGCCACACUGGAACUGAGACACGGUCCAGACUCCUACGGGAGGCAGCAGUAAGGAAUAUUGGACAAUGGGCGAAAGCCUGAUCCAGCCAUGCCGCGUGAGUGAUGAAGGCCUUCGGGUUGUAAAGCUCUUUUGUCCGGGACGAUGAUGACGGUACCGGAAGAAUAAGCCCCGGCUAACUUCGUGCCAGCAGCCGCAGUAA
This 451-nucleotide ribosomal RNA is filed under the name uncultured bacterium. RNAcentral's name for it is "partial 16S ribosomal RNA". It matches the Rfam family "Bacterial small subunit ribosomal RNA", at positions 29 to 523 of the family's 1533-position model. The record is from RNAcentral.